UGCCUACGGGGCGCAGCAGUAGGGAAUCUUCCACAAUGGACGAAAGUCUGAUGGAGCAACGCCGCGUGAGUGAAGAAGGGUUUCGGCUCGUAAAGCACUGGUGGUAGGGGAGAAAGAUAGAGGGAGUAACUGGCCUUUAUUUGACGGUAAUUACUUAGAAAGUCACGGCUAACUACGUGCCAGCAGCCGCGGUAAUACGUAGGUGGCAAGCGUUGGCCGGGUUUAUUGGGCGUAAAGCGAG
This 241-nucleotide ribosomal RNA is filed under the name uncultured bacterium. RNAcentral's name for it is "partial 16S ribosomal RNA". It matches the Rfam family "Bacterial small subunit ribosomal RNA", at positions 335 to 569 of the family's 1533-position model. The record is from RNAcentral.